UACGGGGGGGGCAAGCGUUGUUCGGAAUUACUGGGCGUAAAGGGUUCGUAGGUGGCUCGCUAAGUCAGACGUGAAAUCCCUCAGCUUAACUGGGGAACUGCGUCUGAGACUGGCGAGCUCGAGUGCAGGAGAGGAGCGCGGAAUUCCAGGUGUAGCGGUGAAAUGCGUAGAUAUCUGGAGGAACACCGGUGGCGAAGGCGGCGUUCUGGACUGCAACUGACACUGAGGAACGAAAGCCAGGGUAGCAAACGGG
Molecule: ribosomal RNA, 253 nt
Filed under: uncultured bacterium
Lineage: Bacteria
Description: partial 16S ribosomal RNA
Rfam family: Bacterial small subunit ribosomal RNA
Source: RNAcentral